UUUCCGUAGGUGAACCUGCGGAAGGAUCAUUAAAAUAUUGAAUGUUGGCUUGAAAGGUAUUUCCUGCUGCAGAUCGGGUUUUGAGCUCGAUCUCACAGGGCUAUCGAUCCCCUGUGAUUAAUGACCAUUUUAUGGUUAUGACUUGGUUUGAAAACAAGUUUUUUAAUAUAAAACUUUCGACGACGGAUCUCUUGGCUUGUUCAUCGAUGAAGAACGCAGC
This 220-nucleotide unclassified non-coding RNA is filed under the name uncultured fungus. RNAcentral's name for it is "sequence contains ITS1, 5.8S rRNA gene". The stretch from base 172 to 220 matches the Rfam family "5.8S ribosomal RNA", at positions 1 to 49 of the family's 154-position model. Lineage: Eukaryota; Fungi. The record is from RNAcentral.